Molecule: long non-coding RNA, 280 nt
Filed under: Ursus americanus (American black bear)
Lineage: Eukaryota; Metazoa; Chordata; Mammalia; Carnivora; Ursidae
Description: lncRNA (ENSUAMG00000011645.1)
Source: RNAcentral
CACGCUUAGCCCGGACUCCUGCCGGUCCCGGCCCUGAGGAAGAGCCGGAAAGGACCCUCUAAUAGACUGGAGAGCGUCUGUGCAAGUAAUCCAAGUUGUGGAUGGCCCCAUGGGGGAGCCGACUGACUGUCUGGAGCAAGCAAACUGAGGACCUUGUUACAGAAUGCACAAAAUGUUUGGCAGCAGAAAUGCAUAAAAACAGCUGGCAGAAUAGAAGACGUGGGAGAAGGAGCCACCAGCAGAACCCUUGGUUCAGACAACAGGGUUCUGAAGAGAGGCA